RNAcentral lists this small RNA (54 nucleotides) under Plasmodium falciparum 3D7. RNAcentral's name for it is "Pfa-npcR6969". The record is from RNAcentral. Lineage: Eukaryota; Apicomplexa; Aconoidasida; Haemosporida; Plasmodiidae.
AUAUUGCACGUGUUAAAUAUGUCUUCAUGUGAAUAAGUAUUUUGUUGUAAAGAG